UACGAAGGGGGCUAGCGUUGCUCGGAAUCACUGGGCGUAAAGCGCACGUAGGCGGAUUGCUAAGUCAGGGGUGAAAUCCUGGAGCUCAACUCCAGAACUGCCUUUGAUACUGGCGAUCUCGAGUCCGGGAGAGGUGAGUGGAACUGCGAGUGUAGAGGUGAAAUUCGUAGAUAUUCGCAAGAACACCAGUGGCGAAGGCGGCUCACUGGCCCGGUACUGACGCUGAGGUGCGAAAGCUAGGGUAGCAAACGGG
Molecule: ribosomal RNA, 253 nt
Filed under: uncultured bacterium
Lineage: Bacteria
Description: partial 16S ribosomal RNA
Rfam family: Bacterial small subunit ribosomal RNA
Source: RNAcentral